This 433-nucleotide ribosomal RNA is filed under the name uncultured bacterium. RNAcentral describes it as "partial 16S ribosomal RNA". It matches the Rfam family "Bacterial small subunit ribosomal RNA", at positions 29 to 507 of the family's 1533-position model. The record is from RNAcentral.
AGCGAACGCUGGCGGCAUGCCUAACACAUGCAAGUCGAACGAGACCUUCGGGUCUAGUGGCGCACGGGUGCGUAACGCGUGGGAACCUGCCCUUAGGUUCGGAAUAACUCCCCGAAAGGGGUGCUAAUACCGGAUAAUGUCUCCGGACCAAAGAUUUAUCGCCUUUGGAUGGGCCCGCGUUGGAUUAGCUAGUUGGUAGGGUAAAAGCCUACCAAGGCGACGAUCCAUAGCUGGUCGGAGAGGAUGAUCAGCCACACUGGGACUGAGACACGGCCCAGACUCGUACGGGAGGCAGCAGUGGGGAAUAUAGGACGAGGGGCGAAAGCCUGAUCCAGCAGUGCCGCGUGAGUGAUGAAGGCCUUAGGGUUGUAAAGCUCUUUUACCCGGGAUGAUAAUGACAGUACCGGGAGAAUAAGCACCGGCUAACUCCGUG